UCACACACCCUCAAGCAUUAACUGCCAGGGGCGUGCGCACACACGAGGGGGCAAGGACCCUGCCCUUUCUUGUCAAAAUGGCCUUUAAAACACCCUCGUGGGACAUUUUCAUGCUUCGUUUAUGUCUUGAUGUCACAUCAAAAGGACAGUUAAGGAGACAUUAGUGCCCUCUGUUCAGUCCCCAGUGUGUGCCUCUCAUGUCAGAGUCAGAGAUUUUCCUAAAAGUACAUAUCCGGUGUGCAUAACACAGAGAACACAAAACUUCCUGCUGUUCUGAAGACUCUUCGAACCACCUGGAUGAAGAUAUAUUCCAUCUGCUGCACGAUAAAAAACAUCUCCAAACGGCUGGUACUGUAUUUUGUAAUCCAGGUAGCUGGAAAUUACAUUAGUUUUAAAACCCAAGCAAAAUAUGAACGCGUUACUUUGUAUGAAAAUAUUAAAUAUCGGAAGGUAACAUCAAAAUACACAAAAAAAUAACCGAUUUUAAUUUGGGUUCAUGUUGCACACAUUUAGCAUGAAAAUAUGUCAUUUCCGGCCACCAUCUUUGUUUAAAUUUGGUAAAACAGGCACUUCAGAACAGCGGUCAGUUAAACUAUGUUCUCGGUUUUUCAAAUAUCACAUAUUAUACACACACAUUAUAUCAUAUACAUAUAUAUAUAUAUAUAUGCUGCUUAGUUCUGUGACUCAGGCACAAACUGGGGCUAUGCUCAUGGCACUUUUUCAACAGCAGAGCUUUUCCAAGAACCUUUUCAGGACCUGCGUCUCAACCUGCGUAACUUCCCCCCUGUGCCCCGGGCCGCAGUGCCCUCGUUACAUCAGUCUGCGUGUCGAGGUUUCAGAGCGUGCAGGGACAGAUGUGUAAAUAUCACAGUGGGGAUCUCACACGCCCGGCUGUCACUGUUCUCUGCAGCUGCUGACAGAUUCGCAAAACCUGAGAGUCUUUGAGGAUUCCUGUCAGCAGCUUCUGACUCGCCUGCAGGACACACCCAUAAUCUGCUCUUAGAAGCAUGUCUGCGAUCACAGACUGAAAUCUCUUGACAAAUACAUAAGACAAGACUGAAUACAUAUAAAGUAAGCAAUAAUGCACAACAAGAGUCCUGAUAUAUGGAAAUAAUCAGGGCACUUAAGAGUACAUUAUUGCUUUAAUGCCACGGCUGCUUACAAAAACAUAAAAAUAAAAGGUAGGCUGUGUUUAAAUCAUCCCUCAAGUGUGUUUGUAGACACAGAAAUAGUAUGGAGUGUAACGUUUUUGUCGAACAGCUAUAGCUAUAAUGUUUAUAGAUAAUAUAGAUUUAAUUGUAAUUUGUGUAACCUAUGUUCAUUUUGUCUAUAGAUCUUUUGUCUAUUUGUGCUGAUUAAUAUACAAAUCAGUUGCAUGUUUGCAUUUACCUGGGGAUGAAAAUGUAAUGGAUUCUAAAUAUAAAUCGUCCCUAUUGUUUUAAACACUGUACAGCUCUUUUCAUUUUAAAAACGGAUAUAUUUCACAUAUUUUUUAUUGUGAAUUUGCACCAAAAUACCAAGGCAAACUCCUCGUGCGUGAAAACCUACUUGUCAAUAAACCUGUUUCUGAUUCUGACAAACCCUUCGCCUUAAAUGAAUCGUUAAAUGUACAGUCAAUUAAAGUGUAUUCAACUCAAAACAUCCUCGCCCAUGUUUCUGCGCGCUUUCAAGUCUCGACAUACUGCACACCUGGUUCACUGCUUCAGUUGGAAGUAUUGUCAAUCUAUCAGUGAACAAACUAAAUGUAAUUUAAGAGCAAAUCACAUUAAAUUGUAUGUUUUAAGCUGUAAACAGCAAUUAAUAUAAUGCGUUUCCGUCUUUUGUGUGUGUGUGUGGGUGAUGUGUCUCUUUCUACUGCAGGUACAGCCAGUGAGUUCUCAGGACACACCUCAACCAGUGAUGUCAUGCCAAGGCAGAGGAGCCCAGAACGAACCAGGAGACGCAGACCAAAAGUACACUAAAGGACAUAAACAGUGGUGUCCACAUACUUUUGUCAGUGUAAGAUUCAGAUCGUGUUUCUGUGGCAUCAUCUAGUGGCACAAAUGUGAACUGCAGACAGGAGGAAUUUGGCACAAUGGAGGUUUUCUGAGGACAAAGCUGUUUUUUUUUUUCAUUUUCAUCCGUGACAUGUUUUUCAUUUCAGCGAUAGCGUGAUAAAACCUGUGCAAAGAGUGAGAAAAACAGUCAGUGAUCACAGGAGGAAGGAGGGACGAUGGCAGUUAGAGGUGUGAUGAAGACGCAGACAGAUCAGACUGAUAAAGUGUGUUUCAUUUACUGAAAUGUUCCUGUGGUGGCUUUUAUCUCGUUCUGGAUCUGAGGCAUUUGCAACUGCAGUUUUGCACAAAGAUAUUAAUUAAAAUUAGAAGGCCCCUGGUUUGAUCCUCACAACUUUCCCACAAGACUAUCCCGUUCAAACAGGUGGAUCAUGCUUUAAUUAUUUAUUUAUUUAUUUAUUUUUUUUUCUGUUUAUGUGUCUGGAACAAAAUUACCAUGAAUGAAAAUCCACCAAAAGUAGAACAAUAGUCCAUGUCAUUUAAAAUGAUGUGGGAUUAAGCUUAAUGUUAAAAUUAAAAUUUUCUGAGAAAACCCUCAGUGUAAAGAGGAAUUAUUUCAGAUUUAACUCUGUAACAAUGAAUUUGUCCUCCCCAACACCAGAAAUAAAGUCUCUAAAAUGUUUAAUUUAUUAGUUAGCUGUUAAAUACUUUUAUUAUUUUAUUUCGAUUUAUCUUUUAUUACUUUCUCCUAGUUUUAUUUUUAUGUAUCAGUUCCUUUAAUGAGCGUUCUUCAACAUCUGCUUAUAUUUCUAACUAAAAUAAUCAGAACUUUGUCUCUGAUUUGUCUAUAUUCAUCUGUUCAUAUUUAUCUGUUUUACCGCCUGUAAAAUAAAACAUGGCCAUUUUAUUUUCCAACAUGAAGGUGUCAAGGUUUUUUUUCGUUAUUUCCUGUUUUAUUUUGUAACACUCUCCCUCUCUCUCGUGUCUGUUAGUUUUGCUUCCUGUCGUUGAUUGUUCUGAGUGUUUUCACCUGUGUCGUUGGUUUCACCUGUGUCUCGUCGUCUCCCUCUCCUAAGUCUGUGUCUUCCUUAAUUCUUUGUCAGUUCGUCCUCGUUGCCAUGUUGGUUUUGGCUUCUCUGAUGUUGCACUUUUAGCUGCCUGUAUCUCCCAGUAAGCUCUAUUUAAUCAUUUAACCAUCAUGCUGCCUCCUGUGUCUGCAUUUGGGUCCUUUCCUGUUCACCAACAACGUAACACGACACGUGACAUGGAGACUGCAGAUCAUUUAAGGGGUCGCCACAAGGAAACAACAGUCUGUGCAAAUAGUGCAUUUUCAUCAGGACACAGUGCUUAAAGCCAGACAGAGGAAAGACGGGACAGGUGAGGGUUUCUCAGCCUCUACAGCCCAGGUGAGAGGAAAAUGAGGUGACUGUUUCAAGGCCCAUUUACACCUGGUAUGAAUCCAUGUGCACUGUAUGUCUGUGUUCACACUAGAAACAGUAACUCUGAAACCAUCUGAAACAAUAACUAUAUCCACAUGUCUGGUUUUUAAAUUCAGUUAUUUUGAUUUCACAGAAAAUAUCUUUAAACCAUUUCCGUUCAGAUUGACUUCAUGCUGAUUAUCUAAUCUUUCUUUGUAGGGUGAAUUCAGUUUUCCGUUGUCUUUAUAGUUUCUGGGGGUUUAUGUUACAGUUUAACUGGCUGGUAUUGCACAGAACAGCUAACAUGAAUGUUUUGUUUGCCUUUUCAGACUACAGUACUUGGUUAAUUGUGGGGGAAGCUGCAAAUAUUCAUCACAAAGAUUAAAAACAUGCACUGGAGCAGGAGGUAGAAACACAGGGAGGUAGAGAGGAAAAUUCAAAAGAAGAGUACACUUAAAAGUCCCAUUUUCCAUAAAUAACAGCAGAGAAGUUUCAGACACACAACUUCUAGACAGGCACACUGUUUAGCAUCAAUAAUGUCCAUGGCAUUAAAGGCAACCAUUCAGCUUGCAGGGUUCAUGCUUUUAUCUGUAAUGUUUAAUGGCAACAAGCUGCUGUCAGCUAGCGUAUCAUCUCAUGGUUUUUUUUUUUGGUAAAAUUUAUAGCACAAAACCACGUCAUGCAGAUCACUUACAGACCAACAAGGAAGACACUGAGGAAUACUGACGCUGCGUUCCAGAAAUAUCAGAGAACCAGAAGGAAACGCAACCACAAGGUUUUUUUUUUUUUUUUAAAAUACAAAUUCUGAUGAUCUGAUGUCAACAUGGCGUUUACAAUGUGAAGGCUACACACCAUUGUUUAACUUUUUAAAUAACUGGUAAACUUGAAUUUGAUGUUUAGUGUAGCUUUGAGGUUUUAUAGUACUAAUCAAGAUCUUAAACCUGCCACUGGGGGGCAGCAGAAACAAACUGGAAACUGACACGAUCAUUUUUAAGUUGAUAUGGUGAACUUGCAAAGCUAAGGGUUGCUUAUUUACACAUUCAGCAGAGACAGAGCGACAUUAGCAUUCAUGUGGAGUUGUGUUUCUGGCCAUCUGGCAAAUGUAAUAUGAAAGGUGCCACUCAUAGUGACGAACACACAACACUACUGUGCGUUUUUAGCAUAUUUAAGCUCUUCAUUUUGGUUUUACACCACAGUUGUUUUGAUUUAGUCUCAGUGAUCAGUUGUUUCCAGAUGUAGUGAGCAGCUGUUUUCAGCAAAAGAGCUUUAAAAAACCACUGAACACGAGCUGCUCAUCAGCAAACAGCUGACCGACACAGUCAGAGAGCAGCUGGUGAACAUAGUGGAGCGUUUAGCAGCUGAAGAGCCGGAUAUUUCCCUCAGGAGCUGCUGGAGACCAAACACAGAGCUGACGGAGAGAAGACCGGACUGCCGUCCAUCAGGUGACACAAACACGCCUCCACAUGAAGGAUCAUGUUGCUGCACGUCUGCUGGUUGUGUAAAUAGGCAACUGUUUGCUAACAAGUUCACCCCAACAACUUUUAUAAAAUGUCAAAAUUAUGUUUUCAGUUGGCAAAAAAAAAAAAUCAAUUGAGUCUUUAAAUGUACAGAAACAUCCGGGAGCUAAAGGUGUAAUAAAAUUUGCACUUAUAGCCGCUAAAACUUUACUUAACAAACCAAUAUUCAAUAAAAGUCGUCUGUUGCUUAAGAAUUUCCGCCUUCUGACAGCGAAUGAAACGCAGUAUUGUAAUCUUAUCAUGCAGGAAUCUGUGGGUUAUGUAGUUAAAAAAAAUAAGAACAGUAACGCUUUAUUCAAGUCUGUACUUUCUUGGCAGUUUCCUGGAAAGGAUAAUUACUUGUACACACUUUCAGGUAUUCAUUCUGAAUAACUACUAGUGUAAUUUCAAGACUGUCAGUGCACAGCAGGUCAGCUAAACAUGCAAACGUGUAAAAUCUGUCUACAGGCAAAAUACAAUUUAACUAUUAUAUGCAGAAGAAAGUUUCCAAAAAUAAAUGACUAACAAAUGAAUAUUUACUUUACUAAUUACAGCAGUUUGUUUCCCAGGAACUUACAGACGUAAAAUAAAGCAUAACCAUAGGAACUACAGAUCAGAGCAUAAAAACAGGUCACUUAAGGCUUAAUGUAGAAUCCACAGUAUGAGGAAUGUAAAUGAAUGUAUGUACUGCAUUAACAUCAGGCUACGCUCUCAUCUUUGGCACUUGUGAUUUCCUGUUUGACAUAAAUAUUAAAGCAGGGGUUCAGAGACGAGUUUAAAAUGGCUGGAGACGUCCGACAGCCCCAUCCGGCUCUUCAUCCCCACCUCUGCACUGCUGUCUUCGCUAAAGUAUCUUUUGGUGUCUUUUCAAACAGUCCUCUCUCAACACAGAGUCAGAGCUGUGUUUGCCGGCCUCGGACGUUGCAUAGUGUUGUUGGAGAGUGAAGAAGCGAGCCAUUUUAAAAAGAGGAGAGAUCAGAGUAAUAGUUUGGUGGCGAGAGGCCAGGAGGAGGCGUGUCAGACCUCAGAGCUGAUCACUUCAAUUUUUCCUUUACUACUUCUUGUAAACACGAGGCUCGGGUUGUCAGCGCUCCGUCUGCUGGUCUGCUCCUCUCCAUGUUUGUAUGUGUGUUGCAUCUGUUUAAAACAAUGUACUGUGUGUACAUAUCAGUUCUGAGAGUCUCCAUGUUUUUCCAAUGAUACUGUGUCUGUUUGUAUCUGUGUGAUAUUUUAGUGAGUGUAAUGUUGUUCAUGUGCAUUCAGUGGCACUGCUGGUACAGAGGCUUUGUCACAACCACAGCUGACACCAUUUUGGAAGUCGUUUUGGCUGCUAAUGCUACAGUAAACAGUAAAACAGUGAA
Molecule: long non-coding RNA, 6269 nt
Organism: Siniperca chuatsi (mandarin fish)
Lineage: Eukaryota; Metazoa; Chordata; Actinopteri; Centrarchiformes; Sinipercidae
Exons: 3
Source: RefSeq, a predicted model, not a curated record